Non-coding RNA from Coffea arabica (coffee), 440 nucleotides. Lineage: Eukaryota; Viridiplantae; Streptophyta; Magnoliopsida; Gentianales; Rubiaceae. The record is from RefSeq and is a predicted model, not a curated record.
UAUCACUGUUCAAGAAAAGCAACAGGUCACAAACUCAUUGGGAACCCCUACAAGAAAGCAGAAGUUUGUUUUCUAUGAUUCAGAAGGAUCGAGGGUUGAAGGAAUCAUCUUCAAUGAUGACAUUCCUAGAAUGAGCCAGAUCUUGCAGGUUUAUAAAAAGUAUAAAAUCUCCAAUGCUGAGGUCAGGCCUAUACCACAAAAGUUCCAGACAUCUGACCUUACCAUUCAGUGGGUGAUCAGUAGCAGGACUGUCAUUGAUGAAAUUCCUGAUGAUGAUGCAGUCAUGGCUGUGAAAUUCUGCUAUUCAAAGUUUACUGAUUUAGUUCAGUACAUGGAUGACAAAACUAAAUCAGUCGACGUGCUGGGAGUCGUGAUUAGUGCGCUCGAGAGGAAAACAAUUACCAAAAACUCAAGGCAAUCAGAUGUUCAGAAAUUUGUCC